Heterocephalus glaber (naked mole-rat) is the source of this 5713-nucleotide long non-coding RNA. Lineage: Eukaryota; Metazoa; Chordata; Mammalia; Rodentia; Bathyergidae. The record is from Ensembl.
GUGACUUCAGUGUGAGCAGAGCGAGGGAGGGGCCUUGGAAGUGGGCUCAGCCCAGCUUCCACCGGGCUGUUGGUGGCCUGCACUGGGGUCCCUGAGAGCCAGGGCUGCAGAAGCUGGGGCCGGCAAGGCCGGGGUCCCCGCAGCUGGGCAGCACUCACCACUGAGCCACCUGGCCCUGACGGCCAACACAAUGGACACGCCUGGAAGGAGAGGAUGGGCCAGGUGGGAAGGCUGUUCCUGUCUAUUUCCAGGUGGGCAAGGAGGAGAGAAGGCAGUGCUGACCUGGGCAGCAGAGGGAGGAGGGCACCCAGCCCAGCUGCGGCCCUGGUGCCCCCUCCAGCUGCCUGUGAGCAACUGUGCCCGCCUGGCCUGGGCCCUGCCCUCAGGGGGGGACACCUGCCCGGCCGGCAGUGGCUCCUGGGGUUGGAGUCCUUGUGCCCCCAGGGGACAAAGCAAGGGGCCUCGGAUCCAACUAGAAAACCAGUGUUGCCCUUGGAGGUGGCUCCGAUGGCGACCCCUGGCUUUGGAGGCCCCGUCCCUGUUUCAGGGUUACAGCUGGGGACGCCACAGGGAAAGCCCCCAGGUCUGCGGUCCCUCUGCACUUGGUCGCCAGCCUGGGAAGCUGCAGCUCUGCCCAGGGACCCAACCCGGACUCCUCGUUGUCCUCACAGCCUGUGCUUUCUCCUCGCCACCCCUGGACCAGUAACCGGGGCCCGGUUUGGGGACCAGCAGGCCACGCUGCUCAUCACGAUUGGCCUCAGGAUGUGCAAAGUGUGUCCCUGCUGUUGUGCAAGGCGUACCUCAUCGGCACGUUGGGCCUCGGUGGGGAAAGAACCCGGUUUGAGGUCAGGAGGAUUUGGAGGCUGUCUGUCUCUGUUUUGGAGCAGCCCUGCCACUCAGAUGCCAGCAGCCACGGGCAGGGCACCUGGCUGAGCCAGGACCUGGCCAUCUGGGCAGCACCUCGCCCUGACCCGGCUUGGCCCGAAGCCUGCGUGGAGUUGGAGUUGCGAGUCCAGUCCUGCCAGUGGGUGCGGCUGGGAACCAGCGGGGCUCUGGGCGAGGCCUCUUGACUCGUGCUGGGCAGGACACGGCCCCUGUGGUCCCGGAAGUCUGACUCACCUGUCCUGGAGGAGGGGGGUGAGCUGGGGAACCAGGAGCUCCAUUCUGGCUCACAGCCGGCCCAGCCAGGGAGGGGCAGAGUUUGAAGCCAGCAGAGGGGCCCUGGGCACGGCUGGGCUCACACUGCUUCCGGCCCUUUCAUAGCUGCCUGGAUCCUGCAGACCACAGGGAGAGCUGACCAGGGAUGUCCCCAUGCAGGUGAAGCUGACAACGCAGGCGACACCUGGCUCGUUUUCUGCCGCAGGCUUCGGGCCCGACCGACUGAGACUCAGCAGAGGCCUCGCCAGUUCUCUCCAGCCCAGGCUUGUCGGGAAUUUUGCUGGCUCACUGUUCCCAGCCCAGGAUGAGCAGGGCACCUCGGGCUCGCUGGGAGGGGCGGGGAGCAGCCUUGGCCUGCAGCGGAGACCAGGCCUCCCCACCUGUCCUGAGUCCUCGAACGCCCGGCACCUUGCUUGUGCUGGCCUGGGUGCUGCCCCAGCCUGACCACCCUAGGACCCGCCUUCAGGAUGGGGUGCCCCCUGACCGGAAUCUGCCAGGCCCCACUGUGCGCCCAGCUCCCGUCAAGGGGCUCCCAGCCGAUGCUCCUGGUUGCUCCAUCGGCUGUGGGGUGCUGAUGUCCAUACCCCGGUUAAGGACAAGGUGUGGGGCAGGCUUAGCCAGCACCAGGGCUGCACAGUGGUGCUGCUACCAGCGAAGAAAGGACUCCCAGCAGCUGGCGGGAGCCACCCACGGCUGUUUGUCAAGGGCCAGCAGGACGCCGGAAGUGCAGAGGCGCUCAGUAAGUGCUGGCUGCCACCUCGUAAGUGAACGUUAUACAUGCACCCGGCCAGGCAGACCGCAGCAAACUCCCAGAGGCCCCUGAAGCAGGUGACCAGGAGUUUGUGGCCAGCAGCGCUGGGAGGAGGUAUCGCUGGCGUGGAGUGUCCUGCGGGUUGAGUUCAGUGCUCAGCCUGGGGAGGAAGGAAGAAAGGAAUCAGGAGGAAACAGACAAGCCUGGGGCUAGGGCCGGCAUAGGUCACCUGGCUGGGGUUUGGGGACUGCAGCAACAGGACAAGAGGGGUUGGAUGAGGUGGCACACGCCUGUAAUCCCAGCACUCAGGAGGCUGAGGCAGGAGGACUGCAGUGAGUUCAAGGCCAGCCUGGCCUACAUAGGAGACCCUGUCUCGAAAAAAAAAAGAUGGCACAUGUGGGACAGCUUGAUGGUGCCCACCAAGACCUUGUGAGAUCCUGACCCCAGGACCUGUGACCACAGGAUUUAUGACUCCCAGUGCCUGUGACCUUCAGGACUUGUGACCCCUCAGCGCCUGUGACCCGGACUUCGUUAGAAAACGGAGUCAUUGCAGACAGCCGAGUACAAAGAGGCCUCGGGUGGGACCCAUGUGACCGAGUCCUCAACCAGGGGCAACAGGUCCCCAGCAGCCUGCACACCGGGAGAAGCCACCGGAAGAAGCUGCAGCCACAGCGGAGCUGCACAGUCCCAAGGACGCGGCCAGCUGUUUCCUCCGCCCUCGGCACUCUCGGCCCAGGCUCCCCUCGGACUGGCUGAGCUGCUGGGAGCGCUGGCACCACAGCUGCGGCAGGGCCAGCUUCCUCACAGGACUCCCCUCAGGCAGCCUGGUGGCCCCCUGUGACAAGGUGGACACGGCAGGCAGCUCCAUGGGCCUCGAGGGCUCAGCUGCAAAGCACAGGGGGCAACUGGGCCGAGGGACCGCCACCUGCAGGGCGCUGGGCACCAGUGUUCGGGGAGCAUAAAGGAGGAGAGCUCUCGGCACCGGCCCCUGCAGCAGCAGAGAGCACGGCCAAGAGGCCGGAAGUGGCCACGCGGGGCUGAGGGAUCGUCCCGGGGAGCCUGAGCGACCCCAGACCCAGGCACAUUUGGGCCAGGCAGCGCAGCCGCAGUCCUGCACGCGAGCAGCACGGCCAGCUCCACACUCCGCGUGACUCAGCAGCGCUGGUGAAUCAGGCCGGACGGCUCACGGGCGUGGCCAGCGCCCCAGGCUGGGGCCAGGCCGCGAUUAGGUCAUCUGCCUGGAAGGCCCCCCCCCCGCCCCCUGCUGGGAACCGCUCUUCUGCCCCCAGUGUCUCUCUGGGCCUGGCCUCAGGAGACACCUGCCUGGAGACCCGAGGUGGGGGGCGGUCCCGGGGUCCCAGCCCGGCCCUGCUACUGCUCGGUCGGUCGUGUCCUCCAGGAGUCAGAAGAGCCAGACAGACAGCAGGAAGCGGCGGGGCCGCGGGGCCUCACGCCCCGUGGGGUGCAGAGAGGAGAAGCCAGGGCCGCUGUGCGCUCGGGGGAGCUGGCUGCAGGGGUGGGGAGGCGUGCGGGUUGGAGUUGCAGCCUCUGGCCCUGCCUGGGGAGGCAGGCGUGACCUACGAUAGUCCCCUGCACACCUGCACUGCCCCGCAAGAGUGUGGUCAGUGCGCAUGCGCCCCUUUUGCGAGUCUUUUCCCUGUGGAGUGGUCAGAGCUCCGCACCUAUUCCGGAAGUGCACCUGGCCCGGCCUGGAUGCUGCUCACAUCCUCCGGGCCUGCUUUCUCUCUGUCUCUCACACACACAUCAGCUUGUGUGUCUUCCACUCUCCUUUCCUCAUUCGUUAGAAGUUUUAACUUUCACAUAAUCACAUUUGUCGAUCAAUUCCUGUAUAAGAGCUUGGCUCUGAGUGAUCUCAUGCUUGGAAAGGCUCUCCCAAUCUCAAGACAAUCUCUCCCAAUCUCUUCUAACGCUUUAAAGUUUCACUUUUUUUUUUUUUAGACAGGGUCUUGCUGUGCAGUUUGGGCUGGCCUUGAACUCACUUGUGUAGUCCAGGCUGGUCUCCACGGUGAUCCUCCUGGCUCAGCCUCCCGAGUGCUGGAAUUACCGCCUCGGGAGUGCUGGGAUGACAGGUGUGUGCCCUGUGCCUGGCGAGGUCAAGUAACUUCCGGAGUUUGAGCAAUGAGCUGGUGCCUGAGCCACAGGUGGAAGCCGAGUCCGUGGUGUUUGCAGGACAAACUGUGGACAGGAGCCGGUUGGCAGGGCGAGGAGCGGGCAGGAGCCCGCUGGGCCACAGAACGUCAGCUGCACUUUUAAGCCAGUUUUGGCCUACAGACUCGGCCCGGUGACAUGGGCGGCUUUGGCUGCAGCAGGGCGGAGUGCACCCAGAGGAAAGCGACCUGCAGAAGUGCCCAGAACAGGGUGCAGGACAGCGGUGUGUGUGCUGGAGCUCGAGGGGGUGGCAGGGGAUGGCAGGGGCAUUGGGUGACACCCAGGCUCUGCCCUGGGCUCAGGGCCCCCCAUGCCACUGGGGCCAUCCCAGCCUUGCCUCUCUUGACAUGGCCAGGGAUCCCCAGGACCCCCUGAGCCAGACUGAGCCACACCCUCCUGAUUCAACCUUCUCCAGAACCCAGGGGUGCCUUAGCUCUGGAACUGUCCCCACACCCACUGGGCUGUGAAGUCCUGCCCUGCAGCCACCAUGAGCAGAGAGGAAAGGGUGCUGGGAAGCAGGGGAGGGAGCAGGUGAAUAGCCUGGCUUCUGACUCAGUUCUCCUCCCUGGAGGCCCAGUCUGUGAGGACCCACACCCAGCCCAUCUUCCCCAGGCAGAGUGAAUGACCUCAAGCUGAUGGAGGCCAAUCCCAUCAUCUACAGGGGGAAGCCGAGGCCCAGGGAUGCUCAUGACCACCUCCAGCCAAGCGCUGGGCAGAGGGAAUGGGGUGGACCUGCUUGGGAGCCCAUGCAGCCUGGGGUGACCUUCUGUGGCCUUCAUGCCGUGGAGCUGGACACGCAUCACGUCCCAUGGUCCCUCUCGCUGCAGUGCCUCAGGCAGGGCCUGCAUCCAGUCCGGCCUCCUAACCCUCCUGGGCCACUGGGUGGUGGAGCCCGAGUUCCCUUGCAAAGAGCAAGAAGAGAACCCAGGACCAGGGUGCCUGCAGGGCCAGGGCCAGGUGGGGCCAAGGACUUCCUCCGUACCUUUCACAUCUACCACUGUGUGCUUGUCCUGCAGCUUCAGACUCGGAGCAUAUGCUUCUUACAGAGCUACCCAGCCACACCCAGGGCUGGUGGACCUGGGGGCUUUCAUAGCACAGCCCCUGUGGUGCAGCUGGCCUUGAGCCGCAGGCUCGGCGACUGACUACGAAGACAGAGCAGCCUGCCCUCUGUCUCCUCCCAGUCCCGAUGCGGCCUGGGGUUCAUGGGCGGCCCGGGUCCCAGCUCCCCACUUCCCUGCACCCCUGGGUUCGGGCGAUGUGGCCAUCCUUGCCGCCCCUACCCUGUCCAGCUUGGCCCUGUGUCACCACUGUUCUUGGAUAAGACGCAGGGACAGCCGGGAGUGGCUGUCGAUGGGACGUUAAGUGCAUGCCAACCUCUGGGUUUUGUAUAAAGGGCAAAAGAGGGGUGAAUUUUCUGGCGCUAAUAAGGAAAAUCUUGAGGUUGCCAUUAAUGAAUUGGUCUAAUUGUGCUUUCCAAACAUACCCAGCCAGCAGCUGCUUAAAACUUGUCAUUUUUGUAAAUGAAAAGUAUGAAACAUGGAAACUGUAUAUCCAACUGCUGAUUACAAAUGACAAUAAAGUAUUAAUUGUAUCCAUUAAAGAAAAAGCAAGUACCACCAGCCGGAAAACGCCAGC